This 807-nucleotide ribosomal RNA is filed under the name Triticum aestivum (bread wheat). RNAcentral describes it as "partial small subunit ribosomal RNA". The record is from RNAcentral. Lineage: Eukaryota; Viridiplantae; Streptophyta; Magnoliopsida; Poales; Poaceae.
AUGUUGGGAUUCUUUUGUAAUCGGAUCGACACCUCCGACUCGGAGGAGGAGGAGGAAGAACCUGUAUCACACUUUAUUCCCACCACAACAUCCGGCUCAUGCAUAUCCAAGGAUGACCGGAUCGAGUCGAAGUAUGAUGUAUGGGAUUGCCCACAUGGUCAUGUCCUAUUUGGGGAAAAGGGUCGGAGAUCCACGAAGUUCAUCAUUCGGAACCCCAUGACGUCCCGCUGGACAGAGGUGCACACGCCCAAAAGAUACAUGGUGGCCGACAACCGUGUAGCCGCUGUGCGUUGUGCUAUGACCGGAUGUGACCACCGCCAGUGUCAUGAGGGCCCGUUCCGGUUGGUAUUUUCCUACUUGUAUGUGGGAGAGGGCGAGGACGAGGAUGAUUGUGUUGCAUACGCGGGUGUGUCCCUGCCAGAGAUGUGCAAUUGGAGCAAUCCGUGCUCUAAAUUUCUGAGCAAGCCAUGCUCUAAACCAUGGAGCAAGCGGUGGAGAGAUUCUUCCGGUCUUCAUGUUCCAUUUGAGGCAUGCAUCGAAUCAAUCCCCCCAGUCCUCAUCGAAGACUCACUCUACUUCAUACUUUCAUAUUAUGUUGAUGUUUGCGUAGGAAUUCUCAAGUACAACUUGAGCUCUAAUUGCUUAUCACUGCUUGAUGGGCCACCGGUGGAGGAUGUCUUUGUCGGUGCCACUAUACUCAUGGCCAUGGAGGACGACAGGUUGGGUCUUACACACAUGGAUAGAUUAACCCUCUACUUGUGGUCAAGACAGAUGGGUUCCAACGGAGUUGCAUCAUGGACUCAAUGA